GACAUCCUCGGGCCUACGUCUCUGAGCUCAUGUGUGAGUUUCCCUGAAGGCUGAAUUCCUAGAACCGGAGUCACUCGGUCGAAGGGCACGUGCAGGGCUGUGCCCUGGGCGAGGAACCAAGUUCACCCGCAGGAAGCGAGCUGGUACAUCUCGCGGACCUUUGAGAAGUCUGUGGACAGGUUCGGAGAGCAAGGAUUGAGGCUUUCUGCCACGAGCCAGCACCAGCUUGGGAGAGAGCCACCCUGCGACACAGAUUCUCCGGCCCCAGUCUUGCUUUCGGAUGACUGCAGCCCAGGCGGACAUCAGAAGACUCUGGACCGGCACUGAAAAUAGUUCAGCCGCUUCCUAAUUCCUGACCUGCAUAAACCAUGAGAUAAACAAAUGCGCAUUGUUGUUCUUA
Long non-coding RNA from Suricata suricatta (meerkat), 400 nucleotides. RefSeq lists it as uncharacterized. The record is from RefSeq and is a predicted model, not a curated record. The transcript is spliced from 2 exons. NCBI's taxonomy places the organism in Eukaryota, Metazoa, Chordata, Mammalia, Carnivora, Herpestidae.